UACGGGGGGAGCUAGCGUUUUUCGGAAUUACUGGGCGUAAAGGGCGCGUAGGCGGUCGAUAAAGUUGAAAGUGAAAUCCCCGAGCUUAACUUGGGAACUGCUUUCAAAACUCAUUGACUAGAGGACGAUAGAGGAUAGCAGAAUUCCUAGUGUAGAGGUGAAAUUCUUAGAUAUUAGGAGGAAUACCAGUGGCGAAGGCGGCUAUCUGGGUCGUUUCUGACGCUAAGGCGCGAAAGCGUGGGGAG
RNAcentral lists this ribosomal RNA (245 nucleotides) under uncultured bacterium. RNAcentral describes it as "partial 16S ribosomal RNA". It matches the Rfam family "Bacterial small subunit ribosomal RNA", at positions 524 to 768 of the family's 1533-position model. The record is from RNAcentral.